UGAACCUGGUUGAUCCUGCCAGUAGUCAUAUGCUUGUCUCAAAGAUUAAGCCAUGCAUGUCUCAGUAUGAGUUUUAACACAACGAAACUGCGAAUGGCUCAUUAAAACAGUUAUAGUUUACUUGAUAGUCGAUCGUUAUACGGAUAACUGCGGUAAUUCUGGAGCUAAUACGUGCACAAAGACCUGACUUCAAG
Molecule: ribosomal RNA, 194 nt
Filed under: uncultured eukaryote
Lineage: Eukaryota
Description: partial 18S ribosomal RNA
Rfam family: Eukaryotic small subunit ribosomal RNA
Source: RNAcentral